Molecule: long non-coding RNA, 311 nt
Organism: Neoarius graeffei (lesser salmon catfish)
Lineage: Eukaryota; Metazoa; Chordata; Actinopteri; Siluriformes; Ariidae
Exons: 3
Source: RefSeq, a predicted model, not a curated record
AGCCUCCUCUGCAGGAAGAUGUGCUGUUGGGCCUAUGCAGCACAGUGGAGGAGCUGGAGGAGCUAGACAGGAGUCUGGCUCAACCAGAAAGAAGGAACCAAAUGAAACGUUUCCUUGAAAGCCUGGGAGGGGCGAAUCCGGGGGCAGCCAUUCGUCGCAUUCUACGCCAGGUGGCUACCAACAAUGUCCUGGCGCAGUACAGCCUGAGGGGGAGGAGAGCAAAAAAGCCUUUCCAGAACUUAACCCUUUGCAAAAUUAUAACGGAGGCCUGCAUGCAGAACUUCCCUGGCAAGAAGGUAGCUAAUAUUGAG